This 207-nucleotide ribosomal RNA is filed under the name uncultured bacterium. RNAcentral's name for it is "partial 16S ribosomal RNA". It matches the Rfam family "Bacterial small subunit ribosomal RNA", at positions 568 to 774 of the family's 1533-position model. The record is from RNAcentral.
UGCGUAGGCGGUCCGGCAAGUUCGGUGUGAAAUCUCCCGGCUUAACUGGGAGGGUGCGCCGAAGACUGUUGGGCUGGAGUAUGGGAGAGGCAGGCGGAAUUCCUGGUGUAGCGGUGAAAUGCGUAGAUAUCAGGAGGAACACCGGUGGUGUAGGCGGCUUGCUGGACCAUAACUGACGCUGAGACACGAAAGCGUGGGGAGCAAACA